GGCCAGACUCCUACGGGAGGCAGCAGUGGGGAAUAUUGCACAAUGGGGGAAACCCUGAUGCAGCGACGCCGCGUGAGUGAAGAAGUAUUUCGGUAUGUAAAGCUCUAUCAGCAGGGAAGAAAAUGACGGCACCUGACUAAGAAGCCCCGGCUAACUACGUGCCAGCAGCCGCGGUAAUACGUAGGGGGCGAGCGUUAUCCGGAUUCACUGGGUGUAAAGGGAGCGUAGACGGCCAAGCAAGCCAGGGGUGAAAGCCCGGGGCCCAACCCCGGGACUGCCCUUGGAACUGCAUGGCUGGAGCGCGGGAGGGGCAGGCGGAAUUCCUGGUGUAGCGGUGAAAUGCGUAGAUAUCAGGAGGAACACCGGCGGCGAAGGCGGCUUACUGGACAGUAACUGACGUUGAGGCUCGAAAGCGUGGGGAGCAAACAGGAUUAGAUACCCUCGUA
This 446-nucleotide ribosomal RNA is filed under the name uncultured bacterium. Its description in RNAcentral is "bacterial SSU rRNA". It matches the Rfam family "Bacterial small subunit ribosomal RNA", at positions 329 to 792 of the family's 1533-position model. The record is from RNAcentral.